GCUCAGAUUGAACGCUGGCGGCAGGCCUCACACAUGCAAGUCGAGCGGAUGAAGGGAGCUUGCUCCUGGAUUCAGCGGCGGACGGGUGAGUAAUGCCUAGGAAUCUGCCUGGUAGUGGGGGAUAACGUCCGGAAACGGGCGCUAAUACCGCAUACGUCCUGAGGGAGAAAGUGGGGGAUCUUCGGACCUCACGCUAUCAGAUGAGCCUAGGUCGGAUUAGCUAGUUGGUGGGGUAAAGGCCUACCAAGGCGACGAUCCGUAACUGGUCUGAGAGGAUGAUCAGUCACACUGGAACUGAGACACGGUCCAUGCUCCUACGGGAGGCAGGAGAGGGGAAUAUUGGAAAAUGGGCGAAAGCCUGAUGCAGCCAUGCCGCGUGUGUGAAGAAGGUCUUCGGAUUGGAAAACUCUUUUAGUUGGGAGGAAGGGCAGUAAGUUAAGACCUUACCGUUUUGACGUUACCAGCAAAAAAAGCACCGGCUAACUUCGUG
Molecule: ribosomal RNA, 490 nt
Filed under: uncultured bacterium
Lineage: Bacteria
Description: partial 16S ribosomal RNA
Rfam family: Bacterial small subunit ribosomal RNA
Source: RNAcentral